Molecule: ribosomal RNA, 237 nt
Filed under: uncultured bacterium
Lineage: Bacteria
Description: partial 16S ribosomal RNA
Rfam family: Bacterial small subunit ribosomal RNA
Source: RNAcentral
GGCCUACGGGACGCAGCAGUGAGGAAUAUUGGUCAAUGGGCGCAAGCCUGAACCAGCCAAGUCGCGUGAGGGAUGACGGUCCUAUGGAUUGUAAACCUCUUUUGUCGGGGAGCAAGGCCCGCCACGUGUGGCGGGAAGGAGAGUACCCGAAGAAAAAGCAUCGGCUAAAUCCGUGCCAGCAGGCGCGGGAAUACGGAGGAGGCGAGCGUUAUCCGGGUUUAUUGGGUUUAAAGGGGG